RNAcentral lists this ribosomal RNA (445 nucleotides) under uncultured bacterium. RNAcentral's name for it is "bacterial SSU rRNA". It matches the Rfam family "Bacterial small subunit ribosomal RNA", at positions 331 to 792 of the family's 1533-position model. The record is from RNAcentral.
CCAGACUCCUACGGGAGGCAGCAGUGGGGGAUAUUGCACAAUGGGGGGAACCCUGAUGCAGCGACGCCGCGUGGGUGAAGAAGUAUUUCGGUAUGUAAAGCCCUAUCGGCAGGGAAGAAAUUGGACGGUACCUGACUAAGAAGCCCCGGCUAACUACGUGCCAGCAGCCGCGGUAAUACGUAGGGGGCAAGCGUUAUCCGGAUUCACUGGGUGUAAAGGGAGCGUAGACGGCCAUGCAAGCCUGGAGUGAAAGCCCGGGGCCCAACCCCGGGACUGCUCUGGGAACUGUGCGGCUAGAGUGCGGGAGGGGCAGGCGGAAUUCCUGGUGUAGCGGUGAAAUGCGUAGAUAUCAGGAGGAACACCGGCGGCGAAGGCGGCCUGCUGGACCGCGACUGACGUUGAGGCUCGAAAGCGUGGGGAGCAAACAGGAUUAGAUACCCCUGUA